ACGGAGGAUCCGAGCGUUAUCCGGAUUUAUUGGGUUUAAAGGGUGCGUAGGUGGUUUAAUAAGUCAGCGGUGAAAGUUUGCAGCUUAACUGUAAAAAUGCCGUUGAAACUGUUAGACUUGAGUGUAAAUGAGGUAGGCGGAAUGCGUGGUGUAGCGGUGAAAUGCUUAGAUAUCACGCAGAACUCCGGUUGCGAAGGCAGUUUACUAGGCUAGACCUGACACUGAAGCACGAAAGCGUGGGGAUCAAACAG
RNAcentral lists this ribosomal RNA (251 nucleotides) under uncultured prokaryote. RNAcentral's name for it is "partial 16S rRNA". It matches the Rfam family "Bacterial small subunit ribosomal RNA", at positions 525 to 775 of the family's 1533-position model. The record is from RNAcentral.